RNAcentral lists this ribosomal RNA (377 nucleotides) under uncultured bacterium. Its description in RNAcentral is "bacterial SSU rRNA". It matches the Rfam family "Bacterial small subunit ribosomal RNA", at positions 523 to 898 of the family's 1533-position model. The record is from RNAcentral.
AUACGUAGGUGGCGAGCGUUGUCCGGAAUUACUGGGUGUAAAGGGCGUGUAGGCGGGUAAGCAAGUCAGAUGUGAAAUACCGGGGCUCAACCCCGGGGCUGCAUUUGAAACUGCAUAUCUUGAGUGCAGGAGAGGGAAGCGGAAUUCCUAGUGUAGCGGUGAAAUGCGUAGAUAUUAGGAGGAACACCAGUGGCGAAGGCGGCUUCCUGGACUGUAACUGACGCUGAGGCGCGAAAGCGUGGGGAGCGAACAGGAUUAGAUACCCUGGUAGUCCACGCCGUAAACGAUGGAUACUAGGUGUAGGAGGUAUCGACCCCUUCUGUGCCGGAGUUAACACAAUAAGUAUCCCACCUGGGGAGUACGGCCGCAAGGUUGAA